Molecule: long non-coding RNA, 2155 nt
Organism: Salvelinus namaycush (lake trout)
Lineage: Eukaryota; Metazoa; Chordata; Actinopteri; Salmoniformes; Salmonidae
Exons: 6
Source: RefSeq, a predicted model, not a curated record
GUCGAAAGUUUUUUGAACGUGCGAUUUUCCCAGCCUUUCAUGUUAUUAUUAGCCUACUUUAGCUUUUGCCUUUUGUGUUAUAGUCCGGUUGCGAUAUGUCGCGCAUGUCCAUAUGAUUUGUGUCAUUAGGUGGGUUUUCAUGAUUGCACACGUGACUGAAACCGAGAUGCGAUUUUUCCCGCAUGUCCUCGCGACGCGGGAGAGAAUCUAGAGCUGUUUCUGUGUAGAAUGCAGGGAUUAGUCAUGCAACCGCAGUAGACUGCACACCUCAUCAUCCUUCUCACCGAUACCAUCAUCAUACCGCGCUGCUGAUAAUUUAAGCAGGAGGACAAGAGUGUCUGGGAAUUAUAUAUGUUUUUAUGUUAUUUAUUGUAUGUUUGCGUGGUAGGCUAUCCGAGGUAAAUGAGUUCUCCGGUGGCGGUUCUUGCGGUGCUGGCCGCUUGCCUUUGCGGUGUGCUUCUCCCGGUGGCUUGUAGGGACCAUCUAAAUUACAGACCAAUCAUUGGUAAGCCAUUCGAGAUCCAUCUAGGGUGAAUGGGGGUCCUGGCCCAGGAGAACAUAGUGGGAGACCCUUAUGCUCAGGGAUCCUCCUACAUCGCUGCUUCCUAUGUAAAGUACCUUUUUGCUGGAGCCAGGGUUGUCCCCAUAAGAAUAAACAGAACCGAUGAAGAGUAUGAGAAGAUAUUUGACUCAAUAAACAGACCAACGAUGCGUCUGAUUACUUCCCCAUAUGGGGCACGUGCCAGGGCCUCCAACAGAUGACAGUACUGACCAGCAACAAGAACCUUCUGACUCUGACAGAGACCAAGGCUGUGGCCCUGCCUCUCACAUUCACCCCAGAACUACAGCCGGAAUGCCAAGCUGAAACAUUUCUACACGGUUCUGACCACCAACACAGACGGACGGAGAGAGUUCAUUUCUACCAUGGAAGGGAAUCACUACCCAUUGUAGAUUGUUCCAGUGGCUAUACAGUAAAUAGAGCCUAGAUUGUACAUUUUCAUCUGUUUCCUCUCUGGAAGCGACUCGCUAUCCGUUCUAUGCUGUCCAGUGGCACCCUGAGAAGAGUCCCUUUGAGUGGGUAGAUAAGCCAGGUAUGGUCCACUCUGCUGCGUCCGUCAGAGCAUCCUUCUACACAGCACACUUCUUUGUCUCCGAGGGUGAGUUAUUUUAGUCCACCUUUCUUUAACCAGGUAAAUCGGUUAAGAACAAAUUCUUAUUUGCAACGCUGGCCUGGGGAGUGACUGUAGAUUAGAUAUUGGACUGUACAAUGCUGGCCUGGUGAGUGACUGUAGAUGACAGUCCAGUUAUUGGAUUGUACAACUCUGGCCUGGUGAGUGACUGUAGAUGACAGUCCAGCUAUUGGAUUGUACAACUCUGGCCUGGUGAGUGACUGUAGAUGACAGUCCAGCUAUUGGAUUGUACAACUCUGGCCUGGUGAGUGACUGUAGAUGACAGUCCAGUUAUUGGAUUGUACAACUCUGGCCUGGUGAGUGACUAUAGAUGACAGUCCAGCUAUUGGAUUGUACAACUCUGGCCUGGUGAGUGACUAUAGAUGACAGUCCAGCUAUUGGAUUGUAGCUGUAUUGGACCAUUAACCUUUACAUGACCUGUAGAUGACCUGUACAUGACCUGUAGAUGACCUGUCAUCAUGACACUAACCCUACAUUACACAAGUUCUCUUCAGCCAGUGAGGAGGAGAGAGCUUUCAUCUACAACUAUUCUCUUGUCUUCACAGGUCUAGAUGGUAUAUUCCUGCAAAAUUAUUACUUUGAUUAGAAUCAAUUGUAAAUCUAAUCACUGUACCUUUGCUAUUGUAAAAGAUUGUAUGGACUUUCUGUGAAAUUUACAUUUGUAUUUGAGCUCUGAUUGUAGCUGUAAAAACUCUUGUUGGAAUCAGUGGUUAUUGCAGUUGAUGCAAGUUGUUGCUUUUGUAUGAUAUAAUUGUAAAAAGGUUAGCCUUUUUGAUGUGAUUUCAAGUCUUGAGAACUUUGUUGUGGGGGGAAAAAAAGUUUGUUUAAAUGUACUACCAUUGGAUGUUGUGAUGCAGUGUUUUAUUAACGGGAGAAUAUGUCAAUUCUACCAUCUUCCAUGUGAGAACUAUUACAACAACAUGACUGGAACAUCUGAAAAUAGAACGAAACUGCCUGCACACAAA